UGGGAGCUAAGAGAAUUGAAGUAGGAAUUGGAUGCGGAGUUGGUUUUGGCCAUGGCUUUGGAGUUGGCCUUGCUGUGAAACCUGGGGUGGUGCAGAAGAUUCAAGUCUGUCUCAUGCAAGUGAUGACAAAGAUGAUGGCAAAAUUCGGAAUGGCUCCCAAUCUAUCAAUUGGUCAAGGUGCCCUUCCAAUGUCAAUGCAAAGCGGCUUGAGCACAGUGAAUGGACCCUCAAUCCAAAAUCCAUUGGGAAGUAUCACACAACUGGCAACAAAACUUCCUGACCAAACACCUGAAAGCAUGCAUGGAUAUGGUAGUAUGAUUCCACAUUCAAGCUAUGAAAACUCCACGCCAACAAGCAGUAUAGUUGACACACCUUUUGGUAGUCGAACGGAAAAGGUCAUUAGCGGUUUUCUGAACAAUCCAAUUCUGAAAGAAGAUGAUAAAAACCUAAAUGAAGUGGCUGGACGCUUGCGUUCUGAAAACAACCUGCUUCAAAUGGUGUUGAAACACCAGCAAGUCAUUGAAAAGCUUAUGGAGGAGAAUGAGAAGCUUCGUCAGGUACUGGUGGAAGACCUGAAAAUAUCACCCAGCAAACUCCAUUCCAGUCACUCGCCUAGAAGUAACUCUGUGUGCGCUGAUUGUUUUGAGUGCCGAAGAAAACAAAGAAAAAGGAGAUGAAGUUAAUGUAAAUAUCACUGGAGAAGACAUUCAAGGUCUGGACCUCUAAGAUCUUAACUGAUGAUGCCCUUUACGAACUGUGCUUUUCUAGCAUUCGUUUGGCUUGGCCAUUCUUGCAGGACAAUAAUCUGGAGCUGUCAAUUGUAACUUGAAAGAUUAAAUUAUGAAGAUAGAUACAGAUUACUUGUAAAAAAACUGAUCAAGUUGCUUUGAAUAUACACUUAGUUGAAGAGCUUUUGAAGUCAGGCCUGCCAGAAGGUAACCUAACCUUUCCUUUUGCACUUUUCUUUAUAUAUAUAUAUUUGUUAAGCUUUAACUUUGAUGAGGG
This 1005-nucleotide unclassified non-coding RNA is filed under the name Hevea brasiliensis (rubber tree). Lineage: Eukaryota; Viridiplantae; Streptophyta; Magnoliopsida; Malpighiales; Euphorbiaceae. The record is from RNAcentral.